UCACCCAGGCUAGAGUGCAGUGGUGCA
RNAcentral lists this non-coding RNA (27 nucleotides) under Homo sapiens (human). The record is from RNAcentral. Lineage: Eukaryota; Metazoa; Chordata; Mammalia; Primates; Hominidae.